RNAcentral lists this ribosomal RNA (278 nucleotides) under Megasphaera elsdenii DSM 20460. RNAcentral describes it as "partial 16S ribosomal RNA". It matches the Rfam family "Bacterial small subunit ribosomal RNA", at positions 492 to 776 of the family's 1533-position model. The record is from RNAcentral. Lineage: Bacteria; Bacillati; Bacillota; Negativicutes; Veillonellales; Veillonellaceae.
UAUGGUAAUUCCAGCCGCCGCGGUAAUACGUAGGUGGCAAGCGUUGUCCGGAAUUAUUGGGCGUAAAGGGCGCGCAGGCGGCGUCGUAAGUCGGUCUUAAAAGUGCGGGGCUUAACCCCGUGAGGGGACCGAAACUGCGAUGCUAGAGUAUCGGAGAGGAAAGCGGAAUUCCUAGUGUAGCGGUGAAAUGCGUAGAUAUUAGGAGGAACACCAGUGGCGAAAGCGGCUUUCUGGACGACAACUGACGCUGAGGCGCGAAAGCCAGGGGAGCAAACGGG